This 22-nucleotide microRNA is filed under the name Macaca mulatta (Rhesus monkey). Its description in RNAcentral is "Mml-Mir-506-P6b_5p* (star (passenger))". RNAcentral also lists the same sequence under 1 other name. The record is from RNAcentral. Lineage: Eukaryota; Metazoa; Chordata; Mammalia; Primates; Cercopithecidae.
UACUUAGAAAGGUGCCAGUCAC